GUAAAUAAUUAGGUUUGUUUUCAGAAGUGUACUGUACUGCAAGAGGGUUUAAUGGGUCCCUGGCGGCAGCGGACUGCCGAGGGAACAACAAAGGUGCGCAUAGUCAAGGUAAUAGGCACGAGCGGCACGCCGACAAGCAGCGGCCUAGGCCAGGUAAUGAUCCUUCCGCAGGUUCACCUACGGAAA
RNAcentral lists this unclassified non-coding RNA (186 nucleotides) under uncultured fungus. Its description in RNAcentral is "sequence contains ITS1". Lineage: Eukaryota; Fungi. The record is from RNAcentral.